This 207-nucleotide ribosomal RNA is filed under the name uncultured bacterium. RNAcentral describes it as "partial 16S ribosomal RNA". It matches the Rfam family "Bacterial small subunit ribosomal RNA", at positions 568 to 774 of the family's 1533-position model. The record is from RNAcentral.
CGUCUAGGUGGCCUGGCAAGUCAGAUGUGAAAUCCCUCGGCUUAACCGAGGACGUGCAUUUGAAACUGCUAGGCUUGAGUGUCGGAGGGGGUAGCGGAAUUCCCGGUGUAGAGGUGAUAUUCGUAGAUAUCGGGAGGAACACCAGUGGCGAAGGCGGCUACCUGGCCGAACACUGACACUGAAGCGCGAAAGCGUGGGGAGCAAACA